GACGAACGCUGGCGGCGCGCUUAAUACAUGCAAGUCGAGCGAGAACCAGGGCUUCGGCCCUGGGGACAGCGGCGAACGGGUGAGUAACACGUGGGUAAUCAACCCCCGACACCGGGAUAGCCCAGGGAAACUUGGAUUAAUACCGGAUGCCCCGUCUGGCCUUCGGGCCGGCCGGAAAAGGGUAGCUUCGGCCUCUGGUCGGGGACGAGCCCGCGGCGGAUUAGCUUGUUGGUGAGGUAAAGGCUCACCAAGGCGACGAUCUGUAGCUGGUCUGAGAGGACGAUCAGCCACACUGGGACUGAGACACGGCCCAGACUCCUACGGGAGGCAGCAGUAGGGAAUCUUGCGCAAUGGGCGAAAGCCUGACGCAGCGACGCCGCGUGAGGGAAGAAGGCCUUCGGGUUGUAAACCUCUUUCAGGAGGGACGAAGCCACUCGGGUUAAUAGCCUAGAGGGUGACGGUACCUCCAGAAGAAGCCCCGGCUAACUACGUGCCAGCAGCCGCAGUAA
This 509-nucleotide ribosomal RNA is filed under the name uncultured bacterium. RNAcentral's name for it is "partial 16S ribosomal RNA". It matches the Rfam family "Bacterial small subunit ribosomal RNA", at positions 28 to 523 of the family's 1533-position model. The record is from RNAcentral.